GACGAACGCUGGCGGCGUGCCUAAUACAUGCAAGUAGAACGCACAGUUUAUACCGUAGCUUGCUACACCAUAGACUGUGAGUUGCGAACGGGUGAGUAACGCGUAGGUAACCUGCCUGGUAGCGGGGGAUAACUAUUGGAAACGAUAGCUAAUACCGCAUAAUAUUGAUUAUUGCAUGAUAAUUGAUUGAAAGAUGCUAUUGCAUCACUACCAGAUGGACCUGCGUUGUAUUAGCUAGUAGGUGAGGUAACGGCUCACCUAGGCGACGAUACAUAGCCGGCCUGAGAGGGUGAUCGGCCACACUGGGACUGAGACACGGCCCAGACUCCUACGGGAGGCAGCAGUAGGGAAUCUUCGGCAAUGGACGAAAGUCUGACCGAGCAACGCCGCGUGAGUGAAGAAGGGUUUCGGAUCGUAAAGCUCUGUUGUAAGAGAAGAACGGGUGUGAGAGUGGAAAGUUCACACUGUGACGGUAUCUUACCAGAAAGGGACGGCUAACUACGUG
Molecule: ribosomal RNA, 505 nt
Filed under: uncultured bacterium
Lineage: Bacteria
Description: partial 16S ribosomal RNA
Rfam family: Bacterial small subunit ribosomal RNA
Source: RNAcentral